This 448-nucleotide ribosomal RNA is filed under the name uncultured bacterium. Its description in RNAcentral is "SSU rRNA". It matches the Rfam family "Bacterial small subunit ribosomal RNA", at positions 26 to 518 of the family's 1533-position model. The record is from RNAcentral.
AGGAUGAACGCUGGCGGUCUGCUUAACACAUGCAAGUCGAACGGAGUACCUCGGUACUUAGUGGCGGACGGGUGAGUAACGCGUGAGAAUCUGCCCUUAGGUCGGGGACAACCAUUGGAAACGAUGGCUAAAUACCGGAUAAGCCGAGAGGUAAAAGAUUAAUUGCCUAGGGAAGAGCUCGCGUCUGAUUAGCUAGUUGGUGAGGUAAAGGCUCACCAAGGCAUCGAUCAGUAGCUGGUCUGAGAGGAUGAUCAGCCACACUGGGACUGAGACACGGCCCAGACUCCUACGGGAGGCGGCAGUGGGGAAUUUUCCGCAAUGGGCGAAAGCCUGACGGAGCAAGACCGCGUGAGGGAGGAAGGCUCUUGGGUUGUAAACCUCUUUUCUGGGGAAGAACAAAUGACGGUACCAAGGAAUCAGCAUCGGCUAACUCCGUGCCAGCAGCCGC